Molecule: non-coding RNA, 877 nt
Organism: Danio rerio (zebrafish)
Lineage: Eukaryota; Metazoa; Chordata; Actinopteri; Cypriniformes; Danionidae
Source: RefSeq, a predicted model, not a curated record
UCAGUGAGCUUUGCCUUUAGAUAUAUAGUUUACUUGUUUGCUAAUUCAAUGCAGAAAACCCUUGAAGAUCAUCAAUAAAAACACAUUGAGUAAUGUUUCUGCAAAUGAACUGUUCAAAUAUCUUGUCAAAAAGAGUUGUAGAGUCAUAUUAAUGAUGUUCCUUCCUCUCUUUAGAUCAGCUAUGUGUGCAGGAGAUCCACGAACUUCACGCAGAGCCCAUCAGUAGCUCUAAAUUCUUCUGCACUGCUGUGAGCAACCUGGAGCUGGAAGUUCUCCAACCUCCAGCUCUUGAUGAUCCAGCAGACGAAGACUUGGACUCUAAACCUGAAGUGAACAGCUUUGACUCUGCAGUGGUCAUUGAGAACGACUCUGCAGAGCUUCACUUCCCAGAAGACAAUGAAUCCUCCCUCAGCGAGGACAGCCUGGAGCAAGAGCUUGAUAGUCCUCCAAGUUCACCAUCCGAUGAGGACAAUGAACUUCCAGUGAGCCAGCAGCUCAUAACAGAUGACAUCUGUGACUCUGCCCUGGAUGAAAACUCGAACCCUUUACCGGAUCAGGUCUCACAAGAGGACUCUGCUGUGAAGUCUACAGCAGAUGAUGGGACCUGCUUGGACAAUAAUGACAUCAGCUGCCGCUACAAACUCGGAAAGCAGCUUGGUGAAGGAGGUUUCGGCUCCGUGUAUGAGGGGAUUCGCAUACAGGAUGGUCUGCAGGUGGCAGUUAAAUUUGUCCAGAAGACCCCAAAUAUGCAAGAUGUCAGCUCUGUGAGUAGACUACACUUUCUGUUCGCUGUGUUCAGUUUAUAAAGUCUUAUAUUUAUUAUAGACCACAGGCUGUGGUCAGAAACCCUUGUUUGAAAACCAACAUUAUUAUUUUG